Lolium rigidum is the source of this 3838-nucleotide long non-coding RNA. RefSeq lists it as uncharacterized. The transcript has 3 exons. The record is from RefSeq and is a predicted model, not a curated record. NCBI's taxonomy places the organism in Eukaryota, Viridiplantae, Streptophyta, Magnoliopsida, Poales, Poaceae.
UACAUGGCGCCCGCAGGUCCUCGCCGUCCUUGCUCUGCUUAGCGGAGUACGGCGUCGGCAUGGUCCACAUCCGGGGCCCCCACUCAGCGCCCCCAUUCCCCCAUUUCCAAUUUGAAUCUCACGGCCUGCCCUUCCCCUUCCUCCAUCCUCCCCAGUGCUGCAGAGCUCGCCUCUCGUGAACGGUGGAGGAGAUCCAAUCCGGCCGUGCGCGCAGUGAUGAUGAUGGGCGGAGACUCUGAGGGAUUCAUCGACCUGCUCAUGAGGCCGACCCACGACCUUGCACCUGAUUGGUUACCAAGAAUUCCAAUUCAUGAUGCCGAGACAAGCGCACGUACUUCUCCGUCCAGCUUGAGUUCUGAUUCAAGCGUACUUGUGGCUGAUCCAUGAGAAGCCGGAUUUGGAGAGGACGAAGAGUGCAGCAACGAACCAAGCUUCCUUCUCAGCUUCAUACUUGCAUAAUGAAUCGCCAUUACCGUCUGAUUCGCAUCUGCGGACGCCAAUCGAGACCCCUCCUCCAUCGAAUCACACCUGGAAGCGGAGGUUAAUCGUCCCAAAGUUUAUUAUGAUUCUUGGCUUUUAAUCCUGGCUGCCAAAUCUACACACCCUCAUUGAUCAGUCAUAUUGAUUUCUCUAGCUGAAAAUGAUAUUAGAAUGGGCAUAGACCAAUCUUCAGAAAUGGUUAGUUUAUACGAUGUGGCUUACUAACAAUAUUCAUCUUCAUGAUAGUUUAGGAUGAAUAUAGCAUCUUCACAUUGAGCUACUUGAGGAUUUAUCCUGUAAAAAAAGCUACUUGAGAUUUAAACCUUGCUAGUGUAAGCUACUCCCUCCGUCUCAAAAUGUAAGGCAUCUAAGGAUUGAUCGAAAGUCAAACCUUACUAACUUUGACCAAAUAUUUAGAAAAAAAUAUUUACAUCUACAAUAUCGAAUUGACAUAUCAAGAAAAUAUACUUUAUGCUGAAUCUAUUGAUAUUGAUUUAGUGUUGUAAGUGUAUAAACUUGGCCAAACUUUUAAAACCUUGACUUUUGACUAAUCCUUAGACGCCUUACAUUUUGGGAUGGAGGGAGUACUUGAGAACUCUGUUCGCAUUUCGUGAUCAGGCGAGAGUAGAAAUCUGGGGCACUAAACACUUUCGCGUGGUGCCCUGACUUGUAUUUUAGGGGUAAAAACUGAAGUAUCUCUUUGCACCAUUUUAUUGAAGUCUAUGAAUCCUGGCUGUAAGAAUGGGGUACUAUGAAUUUGUUUACUUAAUAUUAUAGAUAGAUUCUAGAUGCGAUACUUGCUAUAAGACCAUAUGCUGAAAAUGUCCGGUGUAUCUGACAAGUCAUUAGAUGAAAUUAAAUAGUAUGGUAGCCGACAAACAAUUGUAUUCUUUGGAACCUGAUGCAAGCCAAUCAUUCUUUGGAGCCUGAUGCAAGCCAAUCAUUCUUCUAUGUAUAAUGAAAUCUAUCAUAAGAAUUUGUUAAGCAGAAAUUGUAGUUACCCUCCUUAUCCUGUACGGCUGUACCCCAAAUUUUUGCAACUCAUAUACUGUUUCUAGAUUAGGUCCUGCGGCCCAACCUUUUGUAGCUCUAUAUACUGGUCCUAGAAUUAGGACUAUAUACACGUCUCCACACAACAUUAGCCUAAUCUUGUUGGAGCAGCAAUGCGGCAUGCUAAGCUGCUUCUCUGUAUCGGCAAACACAGUUAAUCCAGUAAAAAGGUCAGGUCAGAUGUUCUGUAAUGCGUGAGUCAGCUGCGAAUACUAAUGCCCCUGGUUCCAAUAAAUACAGCAGACCUUUAUUUUGCCAAUGGACAACACAUGAUCUAGGUACCAGAAACAAUCAAAUACUAUGAAGUCCAUAUAUUUACUGAAUAGUAACAGGUCUAUAUACAACGUAUAUGACCCAACCAGCCAAGGCUGCACACAAAUCAAAGCAGGGGAACUGACCUAAAAAAGAAAGAACACAAAUUUACAUUUCAGAACACUAAAAAAUCAGCAGAUAUAGGCGACUGAAUAUUGACAAUCAUUUAUCUCGUGAGGCCUAAAUAGGUAGAUCUUGCUUUGAAGUUUUGGAUGUGUGAUAGUCUAUCCAAUGCGGCUGACAUGAUAGGUUAUUUCCGUCCAGUGAUUCUUACAAGUAGUUGCAUAUACGGAAUGAUUCUUAUUUUAGCAGUCAACCUAAAACUAUUCCAUGUGAGUACCAUGUUCUUCUGCAUCAAACUUAUUUUCGAUAAAACUUUUGCUUCAAAUUAUUCCAUGUGAUGCACUGAUUUGAUGGCGAUAAUAGAGGAGAGCUACAUUUUGCAUGGACGGUAGUAAAAUUAGUAUUUCUGAUUGUGAUAGUGAUGUUCGAGGUCGAGUAGCUAGGAGUAAUCAUACUGACAAUGAUGGCGGUCAUACUAUCUUCAUGUGUAUAAUUGUUAUUUAUUAUGACUACCUAGCACUUUGAUCCUUCACAUCUGGAAUGUGGGAUUUAAUGGAGCCCCUUGCUUCUACACAUUCCAGUUGAUUCCAUUACUGGAUAAUUCUGAUCAUUGUGUUCUGGAGCUUCAUUGUAGCAAAAUGUUUACUAUAGAAGCCUCAUUAAGGGGUUGUCUUGAUCAGACAAGCUCAGAUUUGCAGUAAGUCAUCUUUGUUUGACAAGUAAUUGCUAAUUUAUGUGUUUUUUAUCAUUUUAUAUCCCAUAUAUAAAUAGCUGAAAAAGGAAUUAAGUAGGGGAAAUGAAACUUGGUUAUUUUUCUGUAGUUGUGACUUGACCGUGAUUUGGUGUAUUAUUUCCACUAAUUUAAAUGCUUGGAUAUAUCUUAUUACCUCUCAAAAUAACUUUUUAGCCACCGAACGGUUUUCAAUUUGACUAUGAUGUUACUAUUGAGAAUCAUGGUUAGCGCUACACCAUCGAUGGUUACUAUCAACCAUAUGUUUGGAUAACUUUAUUAGCUUGUAAAAGAACUUCUUAGGGACCGAACGAUUUUGAAAUUGACUAUGUUGUUACUACUGAAAAUCAUGGUUAGGGAUACCCCUCUUAGACACAUGCUUGGAUAUCUUAUUAGCUCUCAAAGGGACUUUUUAGGCACCAAAGGUUUUCAAUAUGAAUUUGAUGAUACUAUUUAUAAUCAUGUUUAGCAAUACACCACUGGUGGUUACUCAUGGACACAAGUGUCGAUAUCUUAUUAGGUUGGCAAAGAAAUUCGUAGCCACCGAGCGGUUUUCAAUAUGAAUAUGAUGGUACUAUUUAUUUGGCGGCUAAAGGACCUUACAGAGAAAAUCUAUGGUAAUGAUCAGCCUAGGUGUAACAGAAAUACCCGAAAGUCACAUUAUGAAGAGGUGGACCAGGGAUGCAUACCAUGACAUGGCCGCUCAUCUCAUGUUGUAUCAAAAGGAUAGCACUACUACGAAAUCCACGAGUUUCUGGCACUCGGCUCUUUACAGGACUGCAAUUGAAAUUGUUCAGAUGGCUGACACCAAUCCAGAGUCAUACGAGGUGGCAAUGUCCCACUUUCUAGAUGCCAUUCCUAUCUUGUCUGAAACAAGCAAGAUAAAAGAUGGCCUUGGUCUAGAAGAGAGAGUUCAAGCAGAUGGGAGAGUGAAUCCCUCAGUCAUAUUCGAGAGCGGCAGUCUUCGACCAGACAUUGUCGCUCCUCCAAAAAGGAAAGACAUCGGUCGACCAACUUCAGCACUACGAGAAGGUCAGUGUGCCAAGAACAAAAUUCUGCACCAUAUGCCGUAACAGGGUUCAUAAGGCGAAUGGCUGCCCAUCCAACCAGAACAAGAAGCCACGAAGAGAGGCCCAUUGCUCAAAUUGCGGUCUGGCUGGGCACAAGAAGAACUACUGCUUGACUUCCAACUACUAGCAUUAC